Molecule: long non-coding RNA, 1968 nt
Filed under: Marmota monax (woodchuck)
Lineage: Eukaryota; Metazoa; Chordata; Mammalia; Rodentia; Sciuridae
Source: RNAcentral
CUUGUUGUCACUUGAGGCAAUCGAUAUAAGGGACAGUUGAAAAAGGCCUGCUGUGUGGCAGCAUUUUACUGGGAGGGACCCCUACGGAUGCAGUCCCCUGACUUUAGAGAAGACAGGUCAGCAGAUCACCUGACGCAGCAGGGAGAACUCAUGUCCCUGGGGCCCCAUGCACAUGGGUUUCCUGGCUCCCGAGGACCCUUCCCAAGAGCCUACCUUGGAGGGGGGGAGUCGAGGCGAAAGGGCAAGGUGCCAGAAGCCAGCGUCUUCCACCAUGGCUCUGCCGUCUUCGCCUGCCAGGUCCUGGCCCAGCGCCUGUGCCCCUCUGUGAAUCGAAGGCUGGGUAACCUGCAGGGGCCUUAGCACCAGCCUGUGCUGCCAGAGCGGAGCCAGGAGUAGUGAGUGCCCCCGAGGGGUGGAGCCCUGGUGCCGAGCCUGCUUCCCUCCAUGGUUUGGAAAACUGAGCUUCCCUUAUUUCUGCACGAAGCCUUCACCCCAUUGCCCUAUUGGCCUGCAGACACAUCUCGGCCUCCCCCACAGCAGCGGCUCCCCACCCUGGUGGCACUAGAGCCAUCCAGGGAGCUUUGUACAACAUUGGUGCCUGCACACUUCAAUUAGCCCGGGGUGGGGCCAAGGCCAGCUGGUUCUUAUAGGCUCUGGGGUAUUUUCUAAGGCAUGUGGUCAGAGCUGAGACCCACUGACCCAGAUGUUGGUAGCUGCGGGCAGGGGGUGGUAACAGCUUAAGGGCCCCAGUGAAAACAGCUUCCUCCCUCCUUUCUCGUUGCCCCUUUGUCCUUGCUGGUGUCCACAAUGCAGCGGUGAUGGUGAUGUGUGCUAGGUCCCCGGGUGUGGGUCUGAAUGGCUCCUGUGAGGACUCCAUGUCCCUUCUCUCCUGGUAUCCGGCGGGUGCCCAGAAGUGGUUAGAAUUAGUGCACCCCAGUCCUCCUGUGCCCACCCACUCCCCAGAGGCGCCUGCCCCACUUGGGUCUUAGCAUUCCAGCUGCGCGGCUCACGGAAAGUGCAGGAGGAUGGAGAUGCGUGGAGAGAUCCGCUCUGCCGCCCUCAUCCUUCUGCCGGCUGCGGUUCCCCGGCAACCGCCCAGCCUGACUCCAGAUUGGAGUUCACAUGAUCCUGCUCAGCUCCGGAAUGGGCAGCCUCCAGCCGGGGGGUUUUCUAGACAGAGCUGGGAGGUUGGGUCUGCGCGUAAUCGCGGGAGAAAGAGCCUGUCCCGGCGAAGGGGUCACCCCGGCUCUGCGGAGCCGUGGCAGGAGCCCAGCAGGGCGGGCAGAAUCCAAACAGCCUCGUCCCAACUCCCCACCCGCUAGAGGACGCCCUCCCUUCGGAUUCCAGGAGUAGCCGAGGCUGGACUUUGCUGCCUGCCCCUCUCCUGACUGCAGAGACCACACUGCCUUCCCCGGGGAGCCAGAGCCUCCAACAGAGGCUGGGCAGUUGCAGGACCGGCCCAUUGGUGGAUCAGGAAGUCAAUCUCGUAGCUCAUGACCUGCAUUUUAAAAAUUGAAACAGAACAGAAAAUAUCAGAAUGCAUGGGCAGUAGUGGGGUAAGUGUUGCUUGGGGAAGUUCACUUCUCUGGGUGUAUGUGUGUGUGUCCAUGUCCCAGUGUGCUGGGUCAAGUGCACAGCAUGUUUCCUGCUAUAGUUUGUGGUCCAAAAAGCUUAAAGGCAGCCCCUCCAGUGCAUGGGCGCCUGGGUUCUGGGUUCUGGGUUCAGAUUCCCUCUGACUUGCUGUGUGAGCUUGGGGCGCUUCUGUGUCUAGCCUCUGUGGGUCUCCGAUUCUGGAAAAUGGGUUCAUAUGACUCAUGGGGACUUUGUGAGCCCUAAGAAGACUGAAAUUUCAGGCCAUUCCAAGGACUUCAGAAAUGAGACCCUAUUGUCUUGUGGGAGUGAGGCUCUGCCAGGUAAAGAUGGGACUGAGGAAAAAGGCAACCUGACUCCUGCACCUCCCUUAGAGGG